UUACACUUAAGAAUGUUUUUACGACCAUGAAGAGAAUACCUGCUGUUUGCAGAAGUGGGAGAACGUGGAGCUCCGACCUCUCCCAGGACCUGGGUGUGCUUCUCCCAGACACAGGGCUCAGCAGCGUCCUCUUGUCGCCUGAAAAAAAUGCACAGCCUAGAAGAUGAGACUUACGCUUUAUUCGGUGGACAAAACUGAGGACUUAAUCCCGGGACACAGCAUCUCAGAUGCUCAGAGGGGCCGCUCCGAAGAGGUCAGGGUGAAGCCAGGAUACAGAGGAGUUUCUGCAACAAAGACCAGGCCCUGCGGGAAGGAAACCCCAGCAGCGGCUCCCAGGCCGGCAGGAGGGUCAGCACGUGAUGGAGCGGUUAAUGCAGAGCUAGAUAUUGGUGAGCUUCUAGGAGGUGCCAGGCAGGAAACGAGGAAACGAAGAGAUGUGACCCCGCCCUCGGGGAAUGACCUGGUCCGUACGUGGGAGCACAAAGGGGUCGUGGCUGGGACAGAGG
Molecule: long non-coding RNA, 506 nt
Organism: Balaenoptera acutorostrata (minke whale)
Lineage: Eukaryota; Metazoa; Chordata; Mammalia; Artiodactyla; Balaenopteridae
Exons: 3
Source: RefSeq, a predicted model, not a curated record